This 32-nucleotide non-coding RNA is filed under the name Mus musculus (house mouse). Lineage: Eukaryota; Metazoa; Chordata; Mammalia; Rodentia; Muridae. The record is from RNAcentral.
UAGGUUGUCAUCACAUGGUCAAACUUCUCCUC